This 341-nucleotide unclassified non-coding RNA is filed under the name plant metagenome. RNAcentral describes it as "partial contains small subunit ribosomal RNA, internal transcribed spacer 1, and 5.8S ribosomal RNA". The record is from RNAcentral.
UUUCCGUAGGUGAACCUGCGGAAGGAUCAUUAUCGAAAAGCAAUCCGGGGGGGAGGCGACCGGGCGAGGUUUGGUAGAGCGUAGGGAUUGUCGCUGGCCUUUGGAACCAAAGGCAUUUGCACGUUCCGAGUUCUCCUUAGUCCUCCGUUGCCUUUCCUUUGGAAGACCCUUUCUUCACCCCCGUGCACACUUUGUAGGUCUCCGCGAGAAGAUCUAGGUCUUCACAAAACACUACGUAUGUCCAGGAAUGUAUCUAAAGCGUCGAACGGCUCGGCUCCAUGCCCGGUGGCGGACGGUAAAGAACCAUAAUACAACUUUCAGCAACGGAUCUCUUGGCUCUC